Glycine soja is the source of this 653-nucleotide long non-coding RNA. RefSeq lists it as uncharacterized. The transcript has 2 exons. Lineage: Eukaryota; Viridiplantae; Streptophyta; Magnoliopsida; Fabales; Fabaceae. The record is from RefSeq and is a predicted model, not a curated record.
AUUUUGAGAAUAAGAUAACACCCCCACAAGGCACAAACACUACAAGCUAGACUAAAGUUUCGUUCCAUGAAUGAAGCUAUCUCGAAGUCAUGGAAAAAAGUUUGUCUCCUAGAAGCAAAACAAACGGAGGGUGGUUUUCAUGUUGGGGGCGUCUCAAAUUGAAGCUUCCAUGGUCGAAGAGAACAAGCACUUAUAAACCCAUUGGUGGUUUUAACUAUGACCCUUUAAGCUAUGCUCAAAACUUUGACGAGGGAUGGGAGGAGGAUGAUGAAGAAUCUUUACAUCGCGGGUUCUCUGCUAGAUAUGCAGCACCUUCCUCACAUAAUAAAUUGCUCAAGCAAUGAUAGGGUUGAUUGAAGCUUCAUUUAAGGCACCUCGAGAUGAACAAUUCCUUGUUUGACUAAAAUAAUCUCAAGAGUCCAGAGAUUUACUCCAGUUCUUUGUUGAUUCAAGCCUCCACUUGUUGCACCAUAAUAUCUUACCUGAAGAUAAUAAGUUAAUAAUAGAAAGUGAAAAAUAUGUCUACAUAACAUUUUUUUUAAUCUAUUCCUUGAUUAGCUAAUGCAAGGUGGCAACUUCUUGGAAAACAUUUAUGGUCACAAUGAAAGAGCAUGGGCUAACAAAAUGCUUAAGUCAAAUAGCAAGAACAUUAA